This 819-nucleotide ribosomal RNA is filed under the name uncultured bacterium. Its description in RNAcentral is "bacterial SSU rRNA". It matches the Rfam family "Bacterial small subunit ribosomal RNA", at positions 64 to 846 of the family's 1533-position model. The record is from RNAcentral.
GAACGAGUUCUCGUUGAUGAUCGGUGCUUGCACCGAGAUUCAACAUGGAACGAGUGGCGGACGGGUGAGUAACACGUGGGUAACCUGCCCUUAAGUGGGGGAUAACAUUUGGAAACGGAUGCUAAUACCGCAUAGAUCCAAGAACCGCAUGGUUCUUGGCUGAAAGAUGGCGUAAGCUAUCGCUUUUGGAUGGACCCGCGGCGUAUUAGCUAGUUGGUGAGGUAAUGGCUCACCAAGGCGAUGAUACGUAGCCGAACUGAGAGGUUGAUCGGCCACAUUGGGACUGAGACACGGCCCAAACUCCUACGGGAGGCAGCAGUAGGGAAUCUUCCACAAUGGGCGCAAGUCUGAUGGAGCAACGCCGCGUGAGUGAAGAAGGCUUUCGGGUCGUAAAACUCUGUUGUUGGAGAAGAAUGGUCGGCAGAGUAACUGUUGUCGGCGUGACGGUAUCCAACCAGAAAGCCACGGCUAACUACGUGCCAGCAGCCGCGGUAAUACGUAGGUGGCAAGCGUUAUCCGGAUUUAUUGGGCGUAAAGCGAGCGCAGGCGGUUUUUUAAGUCUGAUGUGAAAGCCCUCGGCUUAACCGAGGAAGCGCAUCGGAAACUGGGAAACUUGAGUGCAGAAGAGGGCAGUGGAACUCCAUGUGUAGCGGUGAAAUGCGUAGAUAUACGGAAGAACACCAGUGGCGAAGGCGGCUGUCUGGUCUGUAACUGACGCUGAGGCUCGAAAGCAUGGGUAGCGAACAGGAUUAGAUACCCUGGUAGUCCAUGCCGUACACGAUGAAUGCUAGGUGUUGGAGGGUUUCCGCCCUUCAGUGC